Molecule: unclassified non-coding RNA, 200 nt
Filed under: Dothideomycetes sp.
Lineage: Eukaryota; Fungi; Ascomycota; Dothideomycetes
Description: partial internal transcribed spacer 2
Source: RNAcentral
UUAAGUUCAGCGGGUAUCCCUACCUGAUCCGAGGUCAAGCGAUAUGUGGGCUUGUGGAUGCCAGAAUAGCUGGGGAGAGUGCAAAUUGUGCUGCGCUCAAGUCCAAUAUUCUGGCUGCCAAUUCUUUUGAGGCGAGUCGCUAACGACAGCACCCAACACCAAGCAUAGCUUGAGAGUACAAAUGACGCUCGAACAGGCAU